Molecule: ribosomal RNA, 253 nt
Filed under: uncultured bacterium
Lineage: Bacteria
Description: partial 16S ribosomal RNA
Rfam family: Bacterial small subunit ribosomal RNA
Source: RNAcentral
UACGUAGGGUGCGAGCGUUAAUCGGAAUUACUGGGCGUAAAGCGUGCGCAGGCGGCUUUGCAAGACAGAUGUGAAAUCCCCGGGCUCAACCUGGGAACUGCAUUUGUGACUGCAAGGCUAGAGUGUGUCAGAGGGGGAUGGAAUUCCGCGUGUAGCAGUGAAAUGCGUAGAUAUGCGGAGGAACACCAAUGGCGAAGGCAAUCCCCUGGGCCUGUACUGACGCUCAUGCACGAAAGCGUGGGGAGCAAACAGG